GAUAAACGCUGGCGGCGUGCCUAAUACAUGCAAGUCGAGCGAAUGGAUUAAGAGCUUGCUCUUAUGAAGUUAGCGGCGGACGGGUGAGUAACACGUGGGUAACCUGCCCAUAAGACUGGGAUAACUCCGGGAAACCGGGGCUAAUACCGGAUAACAUUUUGAACCGCAUGGUUCGAAAUUGAAAGGCGGCUUCGGCUGUCACUUAUGGAUGGACCCGCGUCGCAUUAGCUAGUUGGUGAGGUAACGGCUCACCAAGGCAACGAUGCGUAGCCGACCUGAGAGGGUGAUCGGCCACACUGGGACUGGGACACGGCCCAGACUCCUACGGGAGGCAGCAGUAGGGAAUCUUCCGCAAUGGACGAAAGUCUGACGGAGCAACGCCGCGUGAGUGACGAAGGCUUUCGGGUCGUAAAACUCUGUUGUUAGGGAAGAACAAGUGCUAGUUGAAUAAGCUGGCACCUUGACGGUACCUAACCAGAAAGCCACGGCUAACUACGUGCCAGCCGCCGCGGUAA
This 515-nucleotide ribosomal RNA is filed under the name uncultured bacterium. Its description in RNAcentral is "partial 16S ribosomal RNA". It matches the Rfam family "Bacterial small subunit ribosomal RNA", at positions 28 to 523 of the family's 1533-position model. The record is from RNAcentral.